RNAcentral lists this long non-coding RNA (4814 nucleotides) under Olea europaea subsp. europaea. Lineage: Eukaryota; Viridiplantae; Streptophyta; Magnoliopsida; Lamiales; Oleaceae. The record is from RNAcentral.
CUCUAGAUGAAAAAUUCAGCAUAGUCAUAGCACUUUGAAGCUGCACAAUAUGGCAUUCAAUUUUUAAGUCCUGAAAGGUUUUAGAUUGAUGGUCUUGUAUGAGUAACUGAAACCAACAUAAUAUCUUUUCGUGCGUCAACUAGAAUACAAGAGCAGAUUGUAAAAGUCUAAUUUAAGUAUGUGCAUAUCAGAUUUAAAGCCAAAAACAUUCCUGGAACUGUGUUAAAAGGAGUUCCUGAUAAUUGUACCGUGUAUGUCAUCCACAAAGGAAAGAUUUCAUCCACACGAGUUGCUUCCCGUCUAGCGCCAUCCAUCCUCACUCCACUUCUUAACCGGAUAAUGCUUUAGGCCUGCAGCAAAUCUAUUGCAUCUGAGGCAUCGUUAGUCUCCAGUUAUAAUUUCAGAAGUUAGUUAUUUCGAAGAAUAUAAUCCUAUCGGGUUGUUAUUAUUAUUUUUUUUUCUCCCUGUAGUUGUAAGUUUGAUUCUGAAUAAUUAUUAUAUGCAGGUUCUAUUUCAGGGUCUUCAAGGCCAGGAUCUGAACCAUCUCUGCAUUCCACGCAAAAUGAGGCAAACUUUAUCAAGCAUGUCAUGUUUAGUUGCUCAAAGCAUGACAUAUAUUAACUAUGUUCCAAGCAUACUCAGUUAGGUACAGAGGAUGCAUCUCUCCACAACAAUGCCUUCUGAAAUUUUCUUUUCCACUUAUUAAAGAAAAUAACUAACAGUUAAUUUUUGCAGUAGCAUGACGUGGCACCUUUAUCCAUCCCAAAAUGCUAACUUUUUACUCUGCAACAAAUCACCGUUUACUCACAGGAAGGCCCCAAAUGGCAAACCAUAUGAACUCUUGGCGCCUGAUACUAACAUAUCUUUUGUUAGUUCUGGAUGGCAAAGCGUUGAUAUGUUCCAAUUGUUGAAUUUUAAUUUAAUCAUGCUAAGAAUCAAGAAUCACCAAAAUUAAAUUAAUAAAAUGAAUUCAUACCUGCGGAAGCCAUUGUUGAUAUGAAUAAUAGUUGUAAUAGCAGUCAAGAUCUUCCUCUCCUUGUUCCUCACAAAGUAUUAGCUAUCAAUGGGGCAAGCCAAUAAAACAUACGGAGAGAAAAUGAGACCUAGCCUUUAUAUAGGAAAUAAUUGAGCCGUCUCAUUACGAUUAGAAUUCUAAUUAGGAUUUAUUUCCUGCCCACAUACUUAAAAUUACCACAUCAUAUUAAUUACAACUGGUAAGGUGUAAAAGCCCCAAUUGAUCACUUAAUAAAUUUGGCCCAAACACAAAUAUCAUUAUGAACCAUACAUCUAACCCGUAAAAUUUGCAAUCGAAUAUGAAGCCCACAUAUGGAAUUAUUCCAACAUUCUCCCACUUGGGCAAAUAUUUAAUUGCUAUAACAAAGUUUUAACACCCUGGUUAGACUACAUAGUGACCACAAAAGCAUGACUCCAAUGAUGGCACCUUACGUAACAUAAUCCGGUCCAAUAAGAAUAUUAAUACCGAACGUGAAAGUCAUUACACCAAUUAAACGAUAUAAGAUCAUUCCACGGCUACAAAUGUCAACAUCCUUAUCGACAUGGAUCCACAUCCUCCAACCAAUGUGGUAGUAUGUGGCAUAAACUUAGCACCAAAUGUGAUAAAAAACUGUGCUAAUUCAUAUCGGUCCUCAUAAUGCUUCUGAUCAAAAUGAAGUCACAUGUCUUCAAAAAAGUCACAUCUUAUGUCUUUACAUGUCAUAUCACAAUAAUAUUAUAAUAAAAAGACAUAAGUCAAAUGCAUACUCAAAAUAGUCCAUGGAUGGGGGAAAAAUAUGUUAUUUUAUUGUUAGAAGGGGCUAUACCCGAAAACAUAUAGGUUGCCUACGUACCCCGCAAAGGGAUCAAAUCCAAAAUGUAGUUCUUUACAUAAAUAACUCCUACUAACCAAAAAUAUCAGAUGUUUCCACAAUACCCACAUUAGUAACAUGUGUCUUAAAGACUUUUGGAGCAAGUCCCUUAGUCAAGGGAUCUGCAAUCAUUGCCUCUAUAUAGAUAUGCUCUAUUUUCGUCUGUCAUUCUUUGACUAUGUCUCUAACAACCAAAUAUUUGAUGUCAAUAUGUUUUAAUCCACCAGAACUUUUAUUAUUCUUUAAAAGAAUACUGCUGCACUGUUAUCACAGUAGAUGGUGAUCGGUCUUGAGAUAGAAUCAACAACUUUCAAGCCAGAGAUGAAAUUUCUUAACCAAAUGGCUUAGACUGUAGCCCCAUAACAUGCCACAAAUUCAGGUUGCAUAGUAGAAGAUGCCACUAGAGUCUGUUUAGCGCUUUUCCAAGAAAUGACACCACCAGCUAAUGUAAAAAUAUAACCUGAGGUCGAUUUCAAAUCAUCUUGACAUCCAGCAAAAUUAGAAUCUGAAUAUCCUACCACCUCAAGAUGAUUUGUACGUUGGAAUGUAAGCAUAUAACUUUCAGUUUUCUUCAAAUAUCUUAUAACUUAGUUGCUUUCCAAUGCUCUUGUCCUGGAUUAGACUGAAAUCUGCUAAGGACACUUACUGCGUAGGCUAUAUCCGGUCUAGUGCAAACUUGAGCAUACAACAAGCUCCCCACAGCACUAGCAUAUGAAAUCAUCUUCAUAGACUCCCUUUCUAGCUCAUUCCUUGGACAUUGAGUUUUGUUAAACUUAUCUCCUUUUAUGAUAGGUACAUCACCAGGUGCACAGUUUUGCAUAUUAAACAUUUCUAGAAUACGUCGUAUAUAAGCUUUUUGAGAAAGUCUCAAUAAGCCACGAUUUCUAUCAUGGUGCAUUUCAAUGCCAAGUACAUAGGAAGCUUUUCCAAGAUCUUUCAUCUCAAAAUUAGCAGAUAACAUUUUCUUUUGAAUCUAAUUUACUAUUGAAAAUUCACUUGUUAUCUACAGCCUUAGCAUCUGGAGGAAGUUCAACAAGAUCCCAAACAUUGUUCCUUUCCAUGGAAUUCAUUUCAUCUUUUAUGACAGCUAUCCAUUUAUCUGCCUCAGGACUUGUCAAUGCUUAGUUAUAAGUUACAGGAUCAACAAUAUGCCCAAUAUUAAAAUUGCUCUCCAAUAAAUAUGUAAUGUAAUCACCGGACAAUGGAGAUCUUCUUUCCCUUUGUGAUCUCCUAACUUGUGGCUCAGAAAUCGAUUCAAUCGUUGUUUGUGUAAUACUCCGAAAUUCUAUGCUCGUUUAAUUUGCUCAUUUAAUUUUUAAGAUAGCAAUUUAACUUUUCAAAAUUUAGUAUGGCCAAAAUUAUUAAUGGUUGCCAAAUUUUGCAUCGGUUGAUUUAUUAAAAGUUUUCCAAAUAAUUUGUUAAUUAGGGGUUUGGGAUAAAUGUCCAAUUUUGCACCUAAUUACCAAGGUUAAGUAUUUUUAUUUUUUUUCCUUUCCUUCCACUUGGUCGUGUAUUGCAUGUAUCAAGCAGGCAUGAGGUGUUUAAUCAAUGCAUGAAUUGUUUUAAAUUAAGCAUGAGGUGGUUAAUGAAUUCAUAGGUGUUUGAUUGAAGUAAGAAAUGCAUCCAUGCAGCCCACGUAGAGAAAAUGGUUGAAGAGUCACCUUUAAUUAAUCAUUUUCUUACCUUUAAAUAGAAAUGUUGCUGGCAUUAUUUUCCCUUGCAAGAAAAAAAAACAGAUUUUCACUUGUAUGAAAGGGCAUUCAACGUGAGAAAAAAAAAGGGAGACAAGCCUAGCACUCUCAAUUCAUCUUUCAACCGAAUUUUCUUCAAGUUUUACAGUAAGAUACUUUCUAUGCUUAAGUGGUAGGAUUUCAUGGUAAUAUUUAUGCUUAAGAUAUGCAUGAAAAACCAUAAUAUGAAUGUGGUGGACAAGUCCACAAAGUUAGAUAUCUACUUAUGCCUUAGGACAAGUCCAAAGGGCACCGGCAAGCCGGAAUGUGCACUUAUGUGUUUGAUUGCAUUCUUUUGUGUAGUAUCAACGUGUUAAAAUCCAAUCAUGGUAUCUUACUGAUUAUUCCUUAUACUCAUAGUAUUCUAUACUAAGUUUUCAGAUCCAUAAUUGCGAAGUUGGUGGAAGUCAGUCAGCAUAAUCGAUGAUGGGUUAAGGACAAGGUUGUUUUGCAUCGAAGUUUUGUUUUUGCAUGUUUUGUUCGACUGCUUUCCAUAUGUUUUCUUAUGGUAUUGUAUACAAACAUGUAUGAGACAUGAGGUAAUAUGGUACCGGAAGUAAAUUAUUCAAUUAUAUCUUCUAUGUUGUGUUAAGAGACAUUUUUUUAAAAAACUUCUCCUUGCAAGUGACAAAAGGCAGAAACGGAACAGUUUUUGGGUCAACUUCAAAACGUUAUUUCUGACUCCAUAAACGUCUAUUUGAGCUGCGUUCCUCAUUGAGUUGUCUUCAUAUGGGCACAAGAAUCACUCAAUCUGGAUAUCUGUAGCUUGAGAUAUGAAUUUUUAAACGUUGAAGGGUCAAUCUGAAAUUUCUGUGCAAUACCUCACUGUUUUCAGUAAAACGCCCAUAUCAUAUGAUUUUGGGAAUUUUUCAUAUUCUAGCCUAGAAAACUAAUUGAAAAUAUCUUUCUAAUUUCAUAAAUUUCAUAGAAAAUGGAGUUGGGAUGAAUUUUAUAAAAAUAGUUGAACUUGCUACCCCAACUAACCGUGGCAGAGCAGAGUCCGUAAAUGUAAAGUAUAAUUUUGUCGUCAUGCGCUUCUGCUGGCCAUUAAAAUUUUAUGAGAGAUAUUUUACCAAGUUGAAAAUAAGUAUCUAACAUGUAAUACUUUCAUUUAAGAGUAUUUACACAUAGCGAAGGUAGCAGUUUUUAUAUUUAGUACGUGACACUCGAAGCUUAAGUUCGGGGUGUCACAGUUUGAGGAGUUGGAGGUUCCUCCAAG